Pteropus vampyrus (large flying fox) is the source of this 124-nucleotide small nuclear RNA. The record is from Ensembl. Lineage: Eukaryota; Metazoa; Chordata; Mammalia; Chiroptera; Pteropodidae.
GCGUCGUAUAAAAGAAAGAAAGUUAGCCAUCUCCUUGACGGGGAUGAAAAAGGCCAUUGGGCCUGUGUGACACACCUACAGCUAAGGCAUUGCCACCUGCUUGGUGACAUCUCAACAUGGUUUU